CCUACGGGAGGCAGCAGUGAGGAAUAUUGGUCAAUGGGCGCGAGCCUGAACCAGCCAAGUCGCGUGAAGGAUGACUGCCCUACGGGUUGUAAACUUCUUUUAUCAAGGAAUAAAGUGAGGCACGUGUGCCUUUUUGUAUGUUCUUUAUGAAUAAGGAUCGGCUUACUCCGUGCCAGCAGCCGCGGUAAUACGGAGGAUCCGAGCGUUAUACGGAUUUAUUGGGUUUAAAGGGAGCGUAGAUGGGUUUUUAAGUCAGUUGUGAAAGUUUGCGGCUCAACCGUAGUAUUGCACUUGAUACUGGGAGUCUUGAGUACAGUAGAGGUAGGCGGAAUGCGUGGUGUAGCGGUGAAAUGCUUAGAUAUCACGAAGAACUCCGAUUGCGAAGGCAGCUUACUAGACUGCCACUGACAUUGAGGCUCGAAAGUGUGGGGAUCGAACAGGAUUAGAUACCCGAGUAGUC
RNAcentral lists this ribosomal RNA (460 nucleotides) under uncultured bacterium. RNAcentral describes it as "partial 16S ribosomal RNA". It matches the Rfam family "Bacterial small subunit ribosomal RNA", at positions 338 to 795 of the family's 1533-position model. The record is from RNAcentral.